UACGUAGGGGGCAAGCGUUGUCCGGAAUUACUGGGCGUAAAGCGCGUGUAGGCGGGACGACAAGUCCGGCGUGAAAGGCUCGGGCUCAACCCGAGACGGCCGUUGGAAACUGUCGUUCUUGAGGGUCGAAGAGGAGAGUGGAAUUCCUGGUGUAGCGGUGAAAUGCGUAGAGAUCAGGAGGAACACCCAUGGCGAAGGCAGCUCGCUGGUCGGCCUCUGACGCUGAGACGCGAAAGCGUGGGGAGCGAACGGG
Molecule: ribosomal RNA, 253 nt
Filed under: uncultured bacterium
Lineage: Bacteria
Description: partial 16S ribosomal RNA
Rfam family: Bacterial small subunit ribosomal RNA
Source: RNAcentral